GCCUGGGUGGCUCAGUCGGUUGAGCGUCCGACUUCGGCUCAGGUCACGAUCUCGCGGUCCGUGAGUUCAAGCCCCACGUCAGGCU
Molecule: transfer RNA, 85 nt
Filed under: Felis catus (domestic cat)
Lineage: Eukaryota; Metazoa; Chordata; Mammalia; Carnivora; Felidae
Also listed under: 2 other names
Rfam family: tRNA
About the family: Transfer RNA (tRNA) molecules are approximately 80 nucleotides in length.
Source: Rfam by way of RNAcentral